RNAcentral lists this long non-coding RNA (397 nucleotides) under Sorghum bicolor (sorghum). RNAcentral's name for it is "long non-coding RNA (SBIC_LNC011847)". Lineage: Eukaryota; Viridiplantae; Streptophyta; Magnoliopsida; Poales; Poaceae. The record is from RNAcentral.
CUUGAUGGACGAGAAAUUAAAAGAAUUGAUUUGGAUAAUAAAGAAAAUAUUUUAGGAAGCUCUAAAAAAAACUUGAGCUGAGAAACAAGGAAUUUGGUUAUAGAUAAAGAUAAACACAUACCGGUCAAGGAAGAUCGAUCUACUAAACGCAUUUUUAAAAACUUUGCUCACUCAACACAUAAAGGAGCAACAAGCAAACAUUACAUCAAAAAAAAAUUUCCUUCAAAUUAAAUUUAUAAAGAUUUAAAGAAUGAUAUUUUUCAUAUAACUAAUUGACAUUAUUUUAAACUAACUUUAGAAAUUUUAUCAAAAUAUCAAAACAUCUAUUUUAAUUAGUGCUUUCUAUGCACAACCCAAAAUCAAAAAUUUUGGGGUGUGACAGGUGUCUACCCUUGGG